This is a non-coding RNA of Zasmidium cellare ATCC 36951, 145 nucleotides long. NCBI's taxonomy places the organism in Eukaryota, Fungi, Ascomycota, Dothideomycetes, Mycosphaerellales, Mycosphaerellaceae. The record is from the annotation of a RefSeq genome assembly.
GGUCAAUUGGUCUAGUGGUAUGAUUCUCGCUUAGGGAAUACCCUGAGUAUACGCUUGCGAGAGGUGUGUAGCUGUUGAGAUGAUAAUAAUAUCGAAUAUGGACUCACGACGUUACAGGUCCCGCGUUCAAUCCGCGGAUUGACCC